This 30-nucleotide non-coding RNA is filed under the name Homo sapiens (human). Lineage: Eukaryota; Metazoa; Chordata; Mammalia; Primates; Hominidae. The record is from RNAcentral.
UGACUUACCGGUCUGAAGACCUCAAGACCC